AGCGUGAUUUUCUCCCGUUUUGGACGACUGCUCGAUUCAUGCCGCCAUUUUUGACGCUCAUAAAGGCCUCCCAGUCAGCACCCUUCCAUACAAAGCAAGCAGGAGGCUCCUGAGCCAUCUCAGUGAUGUUGAGGAUGCUGAGGAAGAGUAGUCCCAAAUCAGUUUUUUUUGGAUGAAACCAGUGAGCAGGGUGACGCCGGUGAGAAGUCACACCAUCGAACUCCCUGACGCAGAGCUGUGCUUUACCAUUAGCCAGACCAGGCAACUGCCUGGGGCAAGGCCACUAGGGGGCUCUCUUAUUUAUCCAUUUUUACAUUUGGCACUUGUCCCUUGUAUUCUUGCACUCUCGUACGCUGCUGUGACAAGUAAAUUUCCCUGUUGUGGAAUAAAGUUCUAUCAAUCAA
This is a long non-coding RNA of Syngnathus acus (greater pipefish), 404 nucleotides long. RefSeq lists it as uncharacterized. The record is from RefSeq and is a predicted model, not a curated record. The transcript has 3 exons. NCBI's taxonomy places the organism in Eukaryota, Metazoa, Chordata, Actinopteri, Syngnathiformes, Syngnathidae.